CCAUAGCAGCCAAUCUGGAAGUAAGGUACGGUGGCGGGAGAGUGCAAAUCUUCGGUUCCAUGGCUAAGCAUUGCAAGUAUACUUGCAAUACUGCUAGUGAAACCCUAGAAUGGAUUCAUGCAAUUAUCAAAUUCAUAACACCUUAUCGAUACUUCUUAGAUGCUCAUGUUGUCAACUUUUUCAAGGAUAGACUAUGGGAAUCUGUUGAUAAAGAAUGGAUGGAUUGUUUACGGAAGGAGCCGGUUGAAAAUCUUCUCCAAAUUCCUUCUGGUGUGGUUCAGGUAGUUGAUCACUGGCCUGACUCACUUAAGGGGUUCAUCCUCACUCUGAGGUCUCUUUCUCUUUCACGUGAACAGGCAGAUUUUCAGGAAUUUUCAGGAAUGCACACAGCUUCACUAAGUAAUGUUUUAGCUCAAGGCAUGAAUCAUAAGAAAAAACAUGAAGUGGAAGCCCUUUCUGCCCUGGUCAGUUUAGUUGCAAAGCAAGUUGGAGCGCGGACAGUUGUGGAUGUUGGCGCUGGACAGGGUUAUCUUGCACAAGUGCUUGCUUUUGACUACCAGCUUUCUGUAAUUGCGGUUGAUGCUUGUUCACAUCAUGGUAAGAUUACUGAUGCACGUGCAGAGCGAAUCAGGAAACACUAUGCAGCUAAGAUGCGUAAAAAUUGCUCCGAACACAGAGAGUUUAGUGUGCCAAAGACAGUUACAUGCCGAGUGCUGUCUUCUGACACGCUGAAGGCCUUGAGUAACUCCCCAGUAGAGAAUGAUCACGCUGGGAAUCAAUAUUUGAGCCAAAAUUGUUCAGGCUUUCAUAGUGAUUCUACAUUGGUUAUUGCUGGACUUCAUGCCUGUGGAGACCUCUCGGUGACAAUGUUGAGGACAUUCUUGGAUUGUGACAAAGUUGAGGCGGUGAUUAGCGUUGGUUGCUGUUAUAACUUGCUUUCUGAGGAAACCAUCGACAUAGCAGUAUCUUGUUGUGGUUUUCCUGUAAGCCAAGGUGUUAAAUCUGCUGGAGUAAUGCUCGGCAAAAGUGCUCGUGAUCUAGCUUGUCAGAGUGCUCAUAGAUGGAGAGGCUUGGGUGGGCACACAGGGCUUCACAACUUUGAGUUGCAUGAAUACCGUGCUGCCUUCCAGAUGGUUCUCUUCAGACAUUAUCCAAAUAUAUUGCUACAAAGUCCGACAAUAGGGCGUCAAGGGAAAGCCUUACGACGCCAACAAAAUCAGAGGAUCCUGGAGUCUAAUUUACAUCACGGGAGCCCUUCAGAGUCUGGUGAACCACAGGGGAGUGUGGAAUUUCCUCAUGAACACUCUUCUAUUCAGAGUUCUAAAAGCAGCGAGUCUAGAGCUGCUGAGGGAUACUCACUAUUUGUAAAAUUUUGUGAAUCUGGGUUAGAUCGCUUACAUCUCCCUCGUUUGGAGAAUACAGAUUACAGUACAGUCUGGAGGGAGUCUAAAUCAUAUGCUUAAGGAUAUGCCAACUAUUCUCUUUUCACUUUGCUCUUUCAGUAAGGAUAUGCCAACUAGAUUCUCAGUAUCUCCAGGAAGGUCUUUGUUCUUUCGUCCAUGCUCAACCAUUUCUUUUGGGGUAGUAAGCAAAUUGAUGUUUGCUGACUGCAUAUUGUUAGAUGCAACUGAUAUAUAUCAUGUAAUUUGAUUAAGAGCCCGUUUGGAUUGGCUUAUAAGUUGCUUAUAAGCUGUUUUCAGCUUUUUUGAGUGUUUGGCUGGCCAGCUUAAAGUCAUUUUGUGCUUAAAAUAAGCUCAAAAAAAUAAUUGGGCCCGUUUGACUGAGCUUAUCUAAAGCAGCUUAUAAGCUGAAGCUGAAAACAACUUAUAAGCCAAAAAAAAUAAGUUAGGCUACCCCAACUUAUUUUUUUUAGCUUAUAAGCUGUUUGCAGCUUAUAAGCUGCUUAAAAUAAGCCCAUCCAAACAACUUAUAAGCUGCUUAAAAUAAGCCCAUCCAAACAGGCUCUAAGCUGGCUCUCUUUCCUUUACCUUUUAAGACAAAUUAUAGCUAACAGUCUAUUACUUGUCUCUGUUUCCUCGGGUUUUUGGUUGGCCAAGAUUUAUAAGUUAUUUUAAUGAAGAGGUGUUCAAUUUGCUUAAUUUGAAAGUCAUUGGUUUGCCCAAAUGAUACUGCCUCUUGAGGAUCAUAGUUGGAUGGUUUAUGUGGUCAAGAUAUUUCUUCUCAGCAUCAAUUAGUGAUUCUAAAAUGUCAAAAAUAUCUUGAUUAAGUUGAAGUUCACAACAUUCUGGCCUCAUUGUUUAUUAGUUGAUUUAAUAGCUUUCUCUUUGGAAUGGAGGUCUGUUCGUGUACAGUAUGUAUGGCAUCAUAGUUCAUUCAGAUUCUCAGGAGUUGCACUUGCCAGUCCCAACUGGUUGACAAAGUUACAUAAAAUCCGGUGUUUAUGAUCUCUACUCAAGUAUCCAGAUAGCUGGUUAGCUGAUAUAUGCAGUCUAUGGUGGUUUCGUUUUCGAAAUAGUAUAGAGAUGAGUUAAUAGGGCCUUAUUGGUCUCUUCGUGCUGCCCUGGGUCCCGUUUUGGAAACUCUUAUUCUGCUUGACCGAUUGGUACUCCUCCAGGAGUAUGGCAAUGAUCUGGAAGCAAGCCUUUUACCUAUUUU
Lycium barbarum (goji berry) is the source of this 2616-nucleotide RNA transcript. RefSeq lists it as uncharacterized. The record is from RefSeq and is a predicted model, not a curated record. Lineage: Eukaryota; Viridiplantae; Streptophyta; Magnoliopsida; Solanales; Solanaceae. The transcript has 13 exons.